Molecule: long non-coding RNA, 1044 nt
Organism: Daphnia magna
Lineage: Eukaryota; Metazoa; Arthropoda; Branchiopoda; Diplostraca; Daphniidae
Exons: 2
Source: RefSeq, a predicted model, not a curated record
GUGGGCCAUCGCUUAUCUGAACGAGCAUUUACCUCUAGUUAUCUUCUCAUACUCAUACGUUCAUCCGGUUUUUUAAAAUCUGUUAUUACUUUAUUAUUGCUUUUGUAAUUCCUUGGGCAUCGACACCCUCUAACCAACAAAGAAACUGCAUUUUUCACAUUACCCUCUUAUAAAUUUUUUCUCAGUUGUACAUUUAGUUGAUUAUAGAGAACAUCUUGCCAUUCAUACGAAUGCAUUUGUCUGAUCUGAUCUGAUCGUGUCAACAUGCUAAUCCCUUCUUGCCACUGGCCGAAGCCUUUUUGUCAAAUUUUUAUCUUUCCAUUUAAACGUAUCUCACAAACAAGCCAUUUGGCACGUGUCACGUAAUAGGUAACAGAAAUGGCAUGGUCCCCUUUGGGUGUUGAGCCUGGCCUACACCCUCCGUGGAGCAUAAAUUUUGGACUUGGUUUGUCACCAUUGGCUGAUUUGAAAAAACAGGGAUUGGUAAAAAUGGAAAUAAAGCAUCAUUAACACAUCUUCUGUUAUUUGUUCUAUUUGCCAGGACCAACCAUUUUAUUCCCACACUUAUCAUUGGAAUUCUGGCAUGGUAGCUGUUGCAGGACACUCUCCUUGGUUAGUUAGUGAGGUUCCAGAAAGCAGCAUUCCAAGAGCAAGAAUCAAAUUUUCCGGCUGUCAACCCAAUAUAGAUCAUUUAACUUUGUUUUCUUGCAUUGAUGGUGAAAUUGAAUUAUAUUGAAAUUUAAAAGUUUUUUAAGCUAUUUACCUACUUAUGAGUUGCUGAAAUGUGUUAACAGAGCAAAAUGCAAAACUUGAAUUGAAUUCGACAAAACUAAUUUGAGUUUGCAGGGGCAGAAAUUUAAAGUUGGUGGCAGGAUAAUGGCUAUCAAUUGUUGAGAAUUUGAAUUGCAAAUUUUAAUUUUGUUAUGUAUAAGUAUAUAAGUACUUGUAGCCUAUAGAUUACUAAAUGAUGAUUUAAGUUGGCAUAUCUUGAAAAUGGUUUUCUUUUUCAAUAUUUAAAUUCAAUACAUAAAGACAUAAAUGGAA